CAAGCGAGACUUCCGGUUGAACCUCUGGAGGCUUCUGACAGAGUCGGAAGCUGCGGAAACCGGGAUGGUGUUGCUCAAGAGCGAGCAGUUCCUGACGAAGCUGACCAGGCUCUUCCAGAAGUGCUGGUCGUCGGGUAGCGUGUUUAUCACCCUGAAGAAGUGUGAUGGUUGCACCAAACCCAUCCCACAGAAGAGUUCCGUGGAGGGCCUCGAGCCCGCAGAAAACAAGUGUCUGUUAAGGGCCACGGAUGGGAAAAGGAAGAUCAGCACAGUGGGGAGCUCCAAAGAAGAGAAUAAGUUUGAGAUGGCCUAUUCAAAUCUACUGAGAGCCGACAUGAAUGGGCUGAAGAAGAGGGACAAGAAGAACAAGAGUAAGAAGAGCAAACCAGCAGUGACAGGCGUGGCCACUACCAACCAGCUGCACCAGUGCAGUUUUCCUGUUUGCUGCUUUCAGUACCCCUAACCUUCGGGAUCUGGAGGAUGUGCAGGAUCCAGGAGGAGCUUUGCCUCCCCCAUGGCCCAGCAACAAGGCACGUCACGUGGUCUUCCCAGGUAUCCGGCACCAGUAGAUUCCAAAGAAACCAACCACGGAAGAGCUCCACGUGAAGAGACAGGGUUUCUCUGUGUACCCUUGGAUGUCUUGGAACUCACUCUGUCAACCAGGCUGGCCUCAAACUCAGAAAUCCACCUGCCUCUGCCUCCUGCCAGUGAACUGUGAUCAGCGAGUAAACCUGGCCUCUGAGGUUCUCUAAUUCAACACGUGACUGCUUCCUCUUGCAUGGGAGUCCAGCAUGGUGCCAUCAGCCAUAUUGUGAUAUAGCCAGAGGGCCCUUGCCAGAGCCGAGUACAUGCAAAUGCUGCACUUUGAGUCUACAGAAAUAUAAAAUAAAUAAAGCUUACUUUAAUAAGCA
Rattus norvegicus (Norway rat) is the source of this 911-nucleotide non-coding RNA. The record is from RefSeq and is a predicted model, not a curated record. Lineage: Eukaryota; Metazoa; Chordata; Mammalia; Rodentia; Muridae.